This 253-nucleotide ribosomal RNA is filed under the name uncultured bacterium. RNAcentral's name for it is "partial 16S ribosomal RNA". It matches the Rfam family "Bacterial small subunit ribosomal RNA", at positions 524 to 776 of the family's 1533-position model. The record is from RNAcentral.
UAUGGAGGGGGCUAGCGUUGUUCGGAAUGACUGGGCGUAAAGCGCGCGUAGGCGGGCUGGAAAGUCAGGGGUGAAAUCCCGGGGCUCAACCUCGGAAUUGCCUUUGAAACUCCCAGCCUUGAGUUCGAGAGAGGUGAGUGGAAUUCCGAGUGUAGAGGUGAAAUUCGUAGAUAUUCGGAGGAACACCAGUGGCGAAGGCGGCUCACUGGCUCGACACUGACGCUGAGGUGCGAAAGCGUGGGGAGCAAACAGG